Molecule: long non-coding RNA, 3315 nt
Organism: Esox lucius (northern pike)
Lineage: Eukaryota; Metazoa; Chordata; Actinopteri; Esociformes; Esocidae
Source: Ensembl
GGGAUUGCACAAUGAGUUUCACUCCAGAUCCAAACAUCAGCUUAUUGUUAGAUCCAGACAACCACAGUGCAACACUCCUGUACAUGAAUCCUCUUCUUCACUAGAGGGUGAACAAAAAAGCCCAUGUUCAGAGUCAGAGACGUUAUUCAAGAUAUUGAGUAAUCUCGGCCAAUAUUAUAUCCACAUUUAGAUAUUUGAGGUCAAAAUACUUUACAUGAAUACAAAACGUUUUAAGAUUCUAUUUGGGCUUAAAUAACAUUUAUUAUUUCAUACCAUCUCCCGACAUGUGAAUGAAUGUCAUGUAAUUGAAAUGCAAAGCCCAACAUAAAUGCAUAAAGAGAGAAAGUUUGACUCUGCAGUCUUACCUUGCCAAUGGAAGUCCUUCAUUAAAGAAACGCUCACACACUGCAAACACUCAGAAAAAUACAGUGUCUCCAGACAACCAUUAUGUAAUUAUUCAUACAUAGCCUUAUAUAAGUACGCAUAGCACCACUGAACUGUUAUAGUAAAAUAGAAUGAUCUGAAUGUGCAAUGCAUGCUGAAUGCUCUUCAGAUUGCUGUAAAAAAGUUAGGUACCAUGUUUAGUCCUCAUGUAUUUUUUUGUGAAUACAAACAUGCUUCUUCUUUGAGGACUCAUCUAUACUUUAUCAUAUAUCUUUGUCUAGCAGGAAGUGAUCCACAUAGCAGAUAUAUAACUUACAUACAUAUGACCCAUUGGCCUACAUUGAAGAGAAAAUUAGAGAACACCAAUCUAAACCUUCACCUGUGACCUACAUUAGGAUGUAUCCCUUAGUCUCAUGGGAUAUGAGGUGCAAUGCAUUGUUAAUGUUUACUUCAUAACAUGUGGGAACCAUUUUACACAUAAAGCACUAUUAUUAACUAGGGCCCAUCCCAAGAUGUGUACUAUAUGUGCCUUUCUACCAAAAUGUGCCAAAGUAAUUUUCAAGUGAAUAACAUUCAAUAAAAAUUUUAUUUAUUUAAAAAAGACGGCCAUUAUCACAAGCAACCCAUAUUAUAAUGGUUCAAAUGAUCAUACAGAACACAAGUGAAACAGAGUACUAUUUCCCAAAUGUUGUCUUUCCUUGACACCUCAUAACACAUUCAAGGAGAUGAAAGGAAAGGUAACCAGAAGGAGACGAGGAGAGAGGAUAUGAGGAAUAAAGUAAAUACAAUUUAGACAGACACAGCGAAGCAAAUGUGGUGAACUAGAAGUCACAUCAACAGAGAACAUUAUUUUACAACCAGCAGGGGGCAACAUCAUCCCAUAUUUUAAAGGUGCACUCUAGUCACAUGAUGAAAUUGCAGAGCUCCUCCAAUAAUAAAAAUCACCUUGUAUAAAUGUACCUCACACUGUGUCAGACUUAUCACCAAUAAUCCCAAUCAAAACGAGUGUUGUGUGCUGCAGAUCGUUUAGGAAGGUGGGUGCACUGCUCUCUACUAUAUCAGUCAUAAUUAGACCUAAACGAAUGUUUCUGAAAAACGGUAGCGUGACUGGUUUCCAUCCUAUUUUCCACUAACAUCAGUCAAUAGACGUUCACCUUAUCAAAAUGUAUCAUGCUUUACAAUAAUAAAAACAUACAGUAUAUAUUUCCAUAGCCUACAUUUACAAAUCCCAUGUGAUUAUAAAAUGUUGGGUUGAGGUCUGGCGCGUAUGAUAUUGCAGUCUUUUAAUAUUGCCACAGAUCAACAAUUAUAUGGUACAGUGGAUAUCAAAGGUAUACACAUCUUUACUGACAAUGCAGCGGUUGUUUAUGAAAAUGGACAAAGGUAAUGAAUUCAAGCGAUUCUGACUUGCCAAAAAUAAAAGAAGCUGUUCCAGUUGGUUUGCUUUAAAACUUCAAGGUUUGUUGCUAGUAUACUACAGAGAUAGCCAUGGUCCACAAGGAGCUAACAAAAGUCCUAGAGGUCUUAUUGUUGAAGGUUGUGAUUGAAAUGAUAAGUCCAACCAGUAGAGCUCAGUGUAAGACAGAUGCACCAUAACAAGGUACACAUCAGGAAAGAAAUAUCAAAAAAUGAUGAGGACAUUACACUCUCUAUAAUGGAAAACUGUGAAGACCGCCAUUAAGAAGUGGAGGCAGGAUGACAGGCAGGUCCCACCAAAUUAUAUUUCAGGGCAAAGAGAAAGCUCAUCAGGGAGUGUACUAUAUGGCCCAUGGCAACCUUAAAUGAGCAGCAGGGAUUUACGGCAGGAACUGAACUUGCCCUGCAUGUUACAACCAAUUGCAAGACAAAAGCCAUAAAAGAGAACACCCAAUCCUUUUAUAUUUUGCAAGAGGACACAUUGAUCUCUCAAAAUUGAUUAUUGGACGGUAGAAAGUUUUUACCUUAAAUUCCAAAAGAUAUGUUUCAUAAAGCCAACACGGCUCAUGACACAGAGUACACAGCACCUAAUGUCAGGCAAGGUCUCUGGUCAGGAUCGUUCCAGAUAUCAUUUAAAAGAAGAUUGUGGCACAAACCCUUCUGCCCUAUGCCAGAAAGUUAGAGAAUUAUAUUACUUUUCAACAUGACUACUGGGCACAAUUUAAAAUGCAGGUUGGUUAGGUUGAUGUUAAAUUAAAAUGUUAUUCACUUAAAUGUUGUUGGCUAAAAAGUAUGAAAUUAUUUGUUUUGAUUACAGCAUUAAAUAAAAACCAGCUGCAUUUUCAAUAAGGACGUGUAGACUGUUGAUAUCCAUUCUAUGUGUUUGUCACUAAUGCAUGCUUCUUACUGCUCAAGCACGCAUGCGAAUAAAGUAACAGUUGGAGCCAUUUCUUGGAAGUCAAGGUGUCUGAAAGAUCUUAAUCUGUUAAUAUGGUUUGACUGUUUCAAUGUACUGGUGAAAACGUGGUUAGGGUUCUCUAGUGGCAGGCUUUGUACAUUUCUAAACAAACUGCAAAGCAUUCAUGUACUUAAAAUACAAAUAAUACAAUAAUAAUAAAAGUAAAUAGAAAUAUUCACAAUAAAUGUUUUUCAGUACGUGUCUCUAGUAUUUCCAAAUUGCAAGCAGGGAGCAUUACAGCAUUCAACACAGAGAAAAUCACUAAAUAAUUAUAUUUUGUAAAAAAGCUAUUGACAAACCAAACGUGGAAGGAAAUUAGAACUGAUUAUGUGUAGUCCAAAUAGGUCUGUAAACAGAAUAGUAAGGGAUAGAAGGAUUUUAUUAUAUUGGUUUGAAAUUUCAUUAAUUCAUGUCAACAAUCUGCCACACAUAAACAAAGUUAAGUCCACUUACCUAGAACACAAGGGCCUUGACAGUAAAUAACACAUUGAAUGCCACGGCUUUGGCAAACAGAACUCUUAAACCAUACACAACUAGUGAUGUGAAGUUCACCUUUG